This 497-nucleotide ribosomal RNA is filed under the name uncultured bacterium. Its description in RNAcentral is "partial 16S ribosomal RNA". It matches the Rfam family "Bacterial small subunit ribosomal RNA", at positions 28 to 507 of the family's 1533-position model. The record is from RNAcentral.
GACGAACGCUGGCGGCGUGCCUAAUACAUGCAAGUAGAACGCUGAAGCUUGGUGCUUGCACCGAGCGGAUGAGUUGCGAACGGGUGAGUAACGCGUAGGUAACCUGCCUGGUAGCGGGGGAUAACUAUUGGAAACGAUAGCUAAUACCGCAUAACAGUAGAUAUCGCAUGAUAGCUACUUGAAAGGUGCAAAUGCACCACUACCAGAUGGACCUGCGUUGUAUUAGCUAGUUGGUGAGGUAACGGCGCACCAAGGCAACGAUACAUAGCCGACCUGAGAGGGUGGUCGGCCACACUGGGACUGAGACACGGCCCAGACUCCUACGGGAGGCAGCAGUAGGGAAUCUUCGGCAAGGAACGGAAGUCUGACCGAGCAACGCCGCGUGAGUGAAGAAGGUUUUCGGAUCGUAAAGCUCUGUUGUAAGAGAAGAACGAGUGUGAGAGUGGAAAGUUCACACUGUGACGGUAACUUACCAGAAAGGGACGGCUAACUACGUG